AACAAGAGGUCCUGGAGUCAGAUGACUGAGAGAAUGACAUGGCCUCAGUUGCGCGCAUUCACGUGAGAGGUAGCUGUGUUCCAUUACAUUUUUGAAGACAUUUGAAUCAUCCGGUUGGAAUAUUAUUGAAGAUUUAUGUUAAAAAGGCCCUAAUGAUUGAUGCUAUACAUCGUUUGACAUGUUUCUACGAACGUAAAUAGAACUUUUUUUUAGUUUUCGUCGUGAAAUUUUUGGCGUGCUUCCUACAUUUGGAGUAGCUUACUGAACGCGCUAACAAAAAGGAGAUCUGACACCCCUAUUAGCUCAACCACAGUCUUCACAGCUGCAGUCGUCUGCCCCUGCAUCUGCUACACCGGCCACGACAGGUGAUACAGGUCUGCCAACCCCCAGCAGUUCAGCUGCUGUCACAGCAGUCCUCUGCUGUAGUAUUUAAUUUACCGGCUGCACCAGUUCCUACUACACUGGGAGUGAAGGGAGAAACUUUUGAGGAUACCCAGAUGGAUACAUAUCUGCCAUGCACUUCACCACUGCCUGACAGCCUCACCCAGAAGUGCAUACACUGGGCCUAUCAAGACUGACAAAGCAGAGAUGGGUGGCUGACAAGGAAAAAUAAAAUAACAUGCACUCACACACAUUAUCCACAAAGUAAAUAAGUUGUAAUUACUUGUUUAUUUAAUGUUUGCUCCAUUUUAUUUUCAGAUUGGAGAUAUCUACUCCUUCAUAACCAAUAUCUACAUAAUUACUGUAAAUAUCUAUCAAAUCAAAGUGUGAAUGAUAAUAUUGUAAAAGACUAUGGCUUAAUGUUUACAGUUUGAGGAAAUUCUGUGUGCUUUUUUCAGAGUUGAAAAACAUGUCUCCCUCUCACAAACGCACAUUAGACCCAAUGUAAAUAAAUUGUAAUAAGUUGUUUGUUGUAUGUAUGCUACAUUUUAUUUGAGGAAAAUAUCUGCAAUAAAGUACAUUCACAGUUAAAGCAAUGUCUGGUUUAUUGGAUAUUUCUCUGAAUACAAUGUAUGACCAGAAGGA
RNAcentral lists this long non-coding RNA (1026 nucleotides) under Salmo salar (Atlantic salmon). Its description in RNAcentral is "lncRNA (ENSSSAG00000094282.1)". Lineage: Eukaryota; Metazoa; Chordata; Actinopteri; Salmoniformes; Salmonidae. The record is from RNAcentral.